This is a long non-coding RNA of Phyllostomus discolor (pale spear-nosed bat), 840 nucleotides long. RefSeq lists it as uncharacterized. The record is from RefSeq and is a predicted model, not a curated record. The transcript has 2 exons. NCBI's taxonomy places the organism in Eukaryota, Metazoa, Chordata, Mammalia, Chiroptera, Phyllostomidae.
CCGCUUUUUAUGAGUCUGAGGUCCGCCCGCUCGCGCCUGGAGAGGCGUCUCCGCGCGCUCCUUCACCGGCCCCGCGUCCCAAGCCGAUGACGUCUAGGAGGCUCAGAGAGAUCACCCCAGCUCACAGACAGCAGAUCACUGGGCCUCAUUGUGUGCCAGGCACUAGGACUCAGCAGUAAACAGGUCUCCUGAUGGCCUCAGUCAGAGCAAGUUCCCUGGUAUGGCAGCCACUGGCCACGUGUGGCCUUGGAGCCCCUGGUGUGAACGGAGAUGUGCUGUAAGACUUGGUACCCCAAAAGUGUGUAAGCGAUCUCAUUAUAUAUAUAUUUUUUAAUUGAUUGUGUGUUAAAAUUGUAAACCUAAAAGGGGGGUUCUAUGGGAAGUAACCUCACCAGGUGAUCUGAGCGUAAAUUCCUAACUGGGCCAGUCCCGGUGGGUAGUCACAGCUCAGGCCUACAGCUGCUUUACUGAGAGGCUUAUCUUUGCCUUAAGCAAGCUGUGCCUGUUGUGAACACACCUUUGAAAUGGCUCCUUUCUGACCCCUCAAGACAGCACGUAAUCUCAACUAUUCUGUAACCCCGUUCCCAAACUGUCUCCUCCCACCUUCACGUAACCUUCCUCAUAUUCCUUCCUUAAUUUCUAAUGCCUGAAAGAUGCCAAAUUGUUAGUGUCCAGACCAUUUGAGGCCUUCCUCUCUGGCAUGUGUCACCAGUUUGGCUCACAUACAAAAAAAGUCUCUACAAGUUUGAACAUUUCUCGCAUAGACAAAGUGAUCAUAUUUUGGAUAAAUUGAGUUAAAUAAAAAAUAUAACUAAAAUUAAGUUCACCUGUUUCUCUUUA